Molecule: ribosomal RNA, 252 nt
Filed under: uncultured bacterium
Lineage: Bacteria
Description: partial 16S ribosomal RNA
Rfam family: Bacterial small subunit ribosomal RNA
Source: RNAcentral
UACGUAGGUCCCGAGCGUUGUCCGGAUUUAUUGGGCGUAAAGCGAGCGCAGGUGGUUUAUUAAGUCUGGUGUAAAAGGCAGUGGCUCAACCAUUGUAUGCAUUGAGAACUGGUAGACUUGAGUGCAGGAGAGGAGAGUGGAAUUCCAUGUGUAGCGGUGAAAUGCGUAGAUAUAUGGAGGAACACCGGUAGCAAAAGCGGCUCUCUGGCCUGUAGCUGACACUGAGGCUCGAAAGCGUGGGGAGCAAACAGG